GAUGAAGAACGCAGCGAAAUGCGAUAAGUAGUGUGAAUUGCAGAAUUCAGUGAAUCAUCGAAUCUUUGAACGCACAUUGCGCCCCUUGGUAUUCCAUGGGGCAUGCCUGUUCGAGCGUCAUUUGUACCUUCAAGCUCUGCUUGGUGUUGGGUGUUUGUCUCGCCUCUGCGUGUAGACUCGCCUUAAAACAAUUGGCAGCCGGCGUAUUGAUUUCGGAGCGCAGUACAUCUCGCGCUUUGCACUCAUAACGACGGCGUCCAAAAGUACAUUUUUACACUCUUGACCUCGGAUCAGGUAGGGAUACCCGCUGAACUUAAGCAUAUCAAUAAGCGGAGGA
RNAcentral lists this unclassified non-coding RNA (337 nucleotides) under soil metagenome. RNAcentral's name for it is "partial contains 5.8S ribosomal RNA, internal transcribed spacer 2, and large subunit ribosomal RNA". The stretch from base 1 to 120 matches the Rfam family "5.8S ribosomal RNA", at positions 35 to 154 of the family's 154-position model. The record is from RNAcentral.